GCUGUGUGUGGUGGUGCACACCUGUUAUCCCAGUGACUUGGGAGGCUGAGGCAGGAGGAUUGCAAGUUUGAGGUCAGCUUCAGCAACUUAGUGAGACCCUGUCUAAA
Molecule: small RNA, 107 nt
Filed under: Marmota monax (woodchuck)
Lineage: Eukaryota; Metazoa; Chordata; Mammalia; Rodentia; Sciuridae
Source: RNAcentral